Molecule: ribosomal RNA, 492 nt
Filed under: uncultured bacterium
Lineage: Bacteria
Description: partial 16S ribosomal RNA
Rfam family: Bacterial small subunit ribosomal RNA
Source: RNAcentral
AUUGAACGCUGGCGGCAGGCCUAACACAUGCAAGUCGAACGGUAACAGAGAAAGACUUUCUUCUUUGCUGACGCGAGGGGCACGGGUGAGUAGUGUCUGGCAGAAUCUCUGUUUGCGGGGGAUAACACCUAGAAACACUAACUCUUAUCGCGUAUAGUACCUACGCGAAAAAGCAGGGGAUCUGCGCACCUUGCGCUCUUGAGUGCGCCGAUGUCGGAUUAGCUAGUUGGGGGGGUAAAGGCCCACCAAGGCGACGAUCCGUAGCUGGUCUGAGAGGAUGAUCAGCCACACUGGAACUGAGACACGGUCCAGACUCCUACGGGAGGCAGCAGUGGGGAAUAUUGGACAAUGGGCGCAAGCCUGGUCCAGCCAUGCCGCGUGGAUGAAGAAGGCCUUCGGGUUGUAAAGCACUUUUGUUGGGAAAGAAAAGAAGAAAGUUAAUACCCCGCUGCAUUGACGGUACCCAAAGAAUAAGCACCGGCUAACUUCGUG